UGUUGUUGUUAGUGUUUGGUGGCGGCGGCGGGCGAGCAAAACCAGCUGCAAAGAUGGAGGAGAAGAGGAAAAGGAGGAGGUGGUUGUGGUUAUGAAGGGCUGCCGUGGCAGGGACAGCCGGUUAUAGUUUUCCUUGUUUUCCCCCUUGGUGGUGGUGGGGAGGAAGAAGAAGAGAGACAUCUGGGACAAGCCGGGCCCAAUAAAUUGCAAGCUUUCCAUCCUGCACGAACAUCUGCAAGAAAAGCAGCAGCAGGAACGCGCCAUUUUUCCCGAUCUUCUGGCAGGAUUCCAUAGAAGGACUUGCUCCUUUUGCCACAAGGGAUGCCCCAGCAGCGUUGGCAGAACGGCAUCUGACCAUCUCCGCAGUCAGCCCUCGCUCCCUACGCGAACGUCGCCAUAGGCCUAGCUCCACAAACAGCUGCCUUCUCCCACUUCCUGAUCGUUCAUCGAGCAGCCACCUACCAAGGACAACAUGAACUCUAAGAAUGAGUCGGCCUAGGAGCUGCCUUCAGGAAGGACCAGAAGAAGGGAAUUUGUCUAUAUAUUGCCUACCCUCCUUCUCCAAGGCAUUCUUAUCAAUAAGAGCUGAGCUGCCCAGCAAUUCCCAAGUGCAUCGCCUUUCUCCAAAGGAGACUAUCUGGCAUUAAUUUCCAUAAGGUAGACAAUAAAAACAUAUCUCCUGGGUCUCUAUUGGGUUGGGGGCUAAUUCUUUCCCAUAAAAAUCAGGAACAGAUUUUGCAUUUAUUUUGUCUCAUAAAGCUCAGUG
Elgaria multicarinata webbii is the source of this 766-nucleotide long non-coding RNA. RefSeq lists it as uncharacterized. Lineage: Eukaryota; Metazoa; Chordata; Lepidosauria; Squamata; Anguidae. The transcript has 3 exons. The record is from RefSeq and is a predicted model, not a curated record.